Molecule: ribosomal RNA, 473 nt
Filed under: uncultured bacterium
Lineage: Bacteria
Description: bacterial SSU rRNA
Rfam family: Bacterial small subunit ribosomal RNA
Source: RNAcentral
CUACGCACUCCUACGGGAGGCAGCAGUGGGGAAUAUUGCACAAUGGGCGCAAGCCUGAUGCAGCCAUGCCGCGUGUAUGUAAGAAGGCCUUCGGGUUGUAAAGUACUUUCAGCAGUGAGGAAGGUGGGUAUGUUAAUAGCAUACUCAUUUGACGUUUAGCUGCAGAAGAAGCACCGGCUAACUCCGUGCCAGCAGCCGCGGUAAUACGGAGGGUGCGAGCGUUAAUCGGAAUUACUGGGCGUAAAGCGCAUGCAGGUGGUUUGUUAAGUCAGAUGUGAAAGCCCGGGGCUCAACCUCGGAAUUGCAUUUGAAACUGGCAAACUAGAGUACUGUAGAGGGGGUAGAAUUUCAGGUGUAGCGGUGAAAUGCGUAGAGAUCUGAAGGAAUACCGGUGGCGAAGGCGGCCCCCUGGACAGAUACUGACACUCAGAUGCGAAAGCGUGGGGAGCAAACAGGAUUAGAUACCCUGGUAG